AAGCGCUUGCGAUCAGACCCGCCCUCGGCUGCUCAGCCGGUCUUCUGACCGGUCCAUUCAGCCGUCGUCGGACCAGCGUCAGUUCUGGCCGCCGGACAAAGGCGGUGGGAAUGUGGCUCCCCCGGGAGUGUUAUAGCCCACCGUGCAAUGCGGCGCGCCGGGACUGAGGUUCGCGUUCUGCCCGGACGCUGGUGCAAUGGUCGUAAGCGG
Molecule: ribosomal RNA, 210 nt
Filed under: Hysteriales sp.
Lineage: Eukaryota; Fungi; Ascomycota; Dothideomycetes; Hysteriales
Description: partial large subunit ribosomal RNA
Source: RNAcentral